UACGUAGGGGGCAAGCGUUGUCCGGAAUCAUUGGGCGUAAAGAGCGCGUAGGCGGUCCGGUAAGUCAGCUGUGAAAGUCAAGGGCUCAACCCUUGAAAGCCGGUUGAUACUGUCGGGCUAGAGUCCGGAAGAGGCGAGUGGAAUUCCCGGUGUAGCGGUGAAAUGCGCAGAUAUCGGGAGGAACACCAAUGGCGAAGGCAGCUCGCUGGGACGGUACUGACGCUAAGGCGCGAAAGCGUGGGGAGCAAACAGG
Molecule: ribosomal RNA, 253 nt
Filed under: uncultured bacterium
Lineage: Bacteria
Description: partial 16S ribosomal RNA
Rfam family: Bacterial small subunit ribosomal RNA
Source: RNAcentral